CGUGAAGCCCCCCUCAAGAUGAGAUUUCCCAUUUCUUCGGAAAGUAAGAUCCCUGAAAGAUGAUCAGGUAGAUAGGUUUGGAGUGGAAGUGUAGCGAUACAUGGAGCGGACAAAUACUAAUCGAUCGAGGACUUAACCAAAA
RNAcentral lists this ribosomal RNA (142 nucleotides) under Listeria monocytogenes. RNAcentral's name for it is "partial 23S ribosomal RNA". It matches the Rfam family "Bacterial large subunit ribosomal RNA", at positions 2786 to 2925 of the family's 2925-position model. The record is from RNAcentral. Lineage: Bacteria; Bacillati; Bacillota; Bacilli; Caryophanales; Listeriaceae.